Molecule: non-coding RNA, 380 nt
Organism: Pelobates cultripes (western spadefoot toad)
Lineage: Eukaryota; Metazoa; Chordata; Amphibia; Anura; Pelobatidae
Source: the annotation of a GenBank genome assembly
CUAAAGGAGAUGAAGUAUAAAACACAGUAGCACAGGAGAUAGCAAUCAAGCAAGGUGAAAGUAAAGCAGAGCUGGAGGAGAGAGUAGAGUCCUGCCCUUUAGGAGAGAGCAAGGGACAGGUAUGUUAGAUAGAGCUUACUCUGGGAGGCCAUACGCUUUCCCAAAGAGAUGGAUUUUAAGGCACUUCUUAAAUGAUUGAUGACUAGGGGAGAGUCUGAUGGCAGUCUAUUCCAAAGGAACGGAGCCGCCAGUGAGAAGUCCUGCAAACGUGAGUUGCAAGUAGUCUUGCAAACUUACGGGUGCAAGUAGUGGACAGGAGAAGGUCAUGGGCAGAGCGGAGAGACAGAGAAGGGGCAUACCUAUGGAUCAGUGAAGAUACA